Non-coding RNA from Condylura cristata (star-nosed mole), 411 nucleotides. NCBI's taxonomy places the organism in Eukaryota, Metazoa, Chordata, Mammalia, Eulipotyphla, Talpidae. The record is from the annotation of a RefSeq genome assembly.
AUGAGUCUGGUGACAAGACUGUCCUUGCUUCUGACGUUGGGAACUCUGAGCCUUGCUAAGACCACCCAGCCCAUCUUUAUUGACUCCUAUGAAGGACAAAAAGUGAACAUCACUUGUAAUCACACUGAGAUUUCUACAAAUGAGUAUAUCUACUGGUACCGGCAGCUCCGCAAUCAGGAGCCAAAAUUUAUUUUGCAAACAUAUAAGAACAACGAGGUACAGGAAGCGGCAUCUCUGUUUGUCACUCAGGACAGGAAGUCCAGCACCCUGAGCCUGCCUCCGACCACCCUGAGCGACUCGGGUGUGUACUACUGCAUCGUGCGUGACACAGUGACACAGACACGGCUGCACCUGUGCGGGAUCCCCCAGAGCUGGGGCACAGCCCAGAGGGAGCCCAAGAGUGCUUUCUGA